RNAcentral lists this ribosomal RNA (449 nucleotides) under uncultured bacterium. Its description in RNAcentral is "partial 16S ribosomal RNA". It matches the Rfam family "Bacterial small subunit ribosomal RNA", at positions 29 to 523 of the family's 1533-position model. The record is from RNAcentral.
AACGAACGCUGGCGGCAUGCCUAACACAUGCAAGUCGAACGAAGGCUUCGGCCUUAGUGGCGCACGGGUGAGUAACGCGUGGGAAACUGCCUAUUGGUGGGGAAUAACGACGGGAAACUGUCGCUAAUACCGCAUAAGCCCUUCGGGGGAAAGAUUUAUCGCCGAUAGAUGUGCCCGCGUCCGAUUAGCUAGUUGGUGAGGUAAUGGCUCACAAAGGCGACGAUCGGUAGCUGGUCUGAGAGGAUGAUCAGCCACACUGGGACUGAGACACGGCCCAGACUCCGACGGGAGGCAGCAGUGGGGAAUAUUGGACAAUGGGCGAAAGCCUGAUCCAGCAAUGCGGCGUGAGUGAUGAAGGCCUUAGGGUUGUAAAGCUCUUUCGGGUGGGACGAUGAUGACGGUACCACCAGAAGAAGCCCCGGCUAACUUCUUGCCAGCCGCCGCCGUAA